This 1619-nucleotide unclassified non-coding RNA is filed under the name Bombus terrestris (buff-tailed bumblebee). Its description in RNAcentral is "misc RNA ENSBTSG00005036316.1". The record is from RNAcentral. Lineage: Eukaryota; Metazoa; Arthropoda; Insecta; Hymenoptera; Apidae.
AUUAUUAAAUAUCAAUUAGAUAUUAAGUAGCUUUUAAUAAACGUAAAUUUCUUAUAUAUAUAAGAACAAUCAUACCAUAAAUAUAUAUACAAAUAUAUUGAUCCUUUUUAAGCUCAUAAUUUUGCAAUAUGUCAAAAUAAUGAAAAUAAUUAUUGAUUAUAAGUAACAUCCACAAAAAUGAUUGAAAACAUAAUAUUAUUAAAUUUCGAUUCAUUUAUAAAAUUAAAUGUUUCGCAAUAUAGGUAUUAUAUUCCCUUUAUAUUAUUUUUUGUCAUACAAUUUAUGAUGCACCAAAUUCAAUGUAUAUCUAUAUAAAUCGUCAAUUACGUGCACGGAUUGGAUGCACUAAUUUAAUUAUUUAUCGUAGUGGAGAGGAAUUAUACAGGAAUAUUGAAAAACUUUUAAUGUUUUCCUACGUUGCAGUAUCACCUUCUUCUUGUUCAAGUCUAGAUGAACCACAUACACGACAUUUACAGCAUACAAUACAUGGUGCGGCCAAUAAAAGUAACGGCGAUGCAACUAGCAAGAGCAAUCCAAAUCCAGCAAAAAUUCCAAUAACUUGUGUUCUGUGCCAAAUAACUGAUGCUCGUACAGAACACAUAGGACAACAUUUGAUAUGAUCACCAUCAAAUGGUAUACCUAAGGAAAUAUCUGAACAAGGACCAGUAUGCCAAGAUUCCCGACAUAUAGAACAGAAAUCUGUAGAACAAUUAGGACAAUGAACUGGCCCAAUAGGAGUUCCAUUUGAGCCAGUAGCAUUUAUAGAACAUAUUGUUUCGCAACCUGCACGUGGACACCAAGCACGUGCUUUAUCCAUGGAUACAUCUACGUAUCAUAUAAAAAAUGGUUAAACUAAGUUAUACUAAUGUUUGUAGCAAGUAAAGUACUGUUUACACACCUCUGUUCAAUCGGAAUUUAUGAUGUUUUUCCACAAGUUCAGCACUAACAAGACUUGAUAUUUCCUUCAUGGAAAGUAUUGCUCCAUGUUCACAUUGUGCAUCAGGACAACUAAUUUCAUAUGCACCUUCUUCAAUUUCAAAUUCAAUAUAUGCUUUCAUACACUAAAACAUGUCAAAUACAUAUGUAUAAUAACUAUAUGUAUAAUAUAUUUACUUUAAAUAAUUUUUCAUAUGAUAAUAUGUAUCAAAAGUUUGCACAUACAUCUUUACAGUAGGAACAACCACAGCCUUCUAUCUUAAAUGUUUUAGAAAAAGAAGUAUCAACAAGACAUAAUUUACAAAAGAUACGUCCAAGUGCUUGUUGAGAACUUGCAGGAACAAAAUUGCCUGCAGCUAAACUGUAGCGGGAACUAGAUGCCAAUGAUAGUAAACUGGAGCAGCGAGAACAUACUCGACUGCGAUUUAUUGGUCUGCCCUCUAAAGCAGAAGUACUUAAACCCACAGUAGUUUCACAUUUUCUUAAUCCUGUGGGGCCUAAACUCAACCAACUAUUACCACGAGCUUCCAAGCUUGCACUACUUUCAGGUCUAAGUAAAGGUGCAUCUACUCCUUUUCCUACUACAGUUCUCUCUGUCAAUGAAAGAUUUAUAACACUGGCUUCUUUGCGCAAUAAUGGUAAUCUGACUCCAGUAAGUUUGUUAGACUUAUCAACUUUUUUUU